This 289-nucleotide ribosomal RNA is filed under the name uncultured bacterium. Its description in RNAcentral is "partial 16S ribosomal RNA". It matches the Rfam family "Bacterial small subunit ribosomal RNA", at positions 30 to 305 of the family's 1533-position model. The record is from RNAcentral.
AUUGAACGCUGGCGGCGUGCCUAACACAUGCAAGUCGAGCGGUAACAGGUGUAGCAAUACAUGCUGACGAGCGGCGAACGGGUGAGUAAUGCUUCGGAAUCUGCCCAUGUAGUGGGAAUAACCAGCCGAAAGGUUGGCUAAUACCGCAUACGACCCUUGCCCACAAGGCAAAGGUGAAAGCAGGGGAUCGCAAGACCUUGCGCUAUUGGAUGAGCCGAAGUCGGAUUAGCUAGUUGGUAGGUAACGGCCUACCAAGGCGACAAUCCGUAGCUGGUCUGAGAGGACGACC